Molecule: ribosomal RNA, 353 nt
Filed under: uncultured Methanomethylovorans sp.
Lineage: Archaea; Methanobacteriati; Methanobacteriota; Methanomicrobia; Methanosarcinales; Methanosarcinaceae
Description: bacterial SSU rRNA
Rfam family: Archaeal small subunit ribosomal RNA
Source: RNAcentral
AGGAGGUGCAUGGCCGUCGUCAGUUCGUACUGUGAAGCAUCCUGUUAAGUCAGGCAACGAGCGAGACCCGUGCCCACUGUUGCCAGCAUGUCCUUCGGGAUGAUGGGUACUCUGUGGGGACCGCCGAUGCUAAAUCGGAGGAAGGUGCGGGCUACGGUAGGUCAGUAUGCCCCGAAUCUCCCGGGCUACACGCGGGCUACAAUGACUGGGACAAUGGGCUCCUACCCCGAAAGGGGAUGGUAAUCUCAUAAACCCAGCCUUAGUUCGGAUCGAGGGCUGUAACCCGCCCUCGUGAAGCUGGAAUCCGUAGUAAUCGCGUUUCAAAUAGCACGGUGAAUAUGUCCCUGCUCCUU